CCUCUUUUCUUGGCAUACUGUGUUUUCCUGUUCAUGUUUGUGUAUGUGAUGGAGGAAAAUAUAAGUCCAGUGAAAUGUCUUCUGUGCCAGAAAGUUAGCCAUCUUCUGGUUCUAUCCUCAGUCACUGGCACAGUC
Molecule: small nucleolar RNA, 135 nt
Organism: Lates calcarifer (barramundi perch)
Lineage: Eukaryota; Metazoa; Chordata; Actinopteri; Centropomidae
Source: Ensembl